Astatotilapia calliptera (eastern happy) is the source of this 1612-nucleotide long non-coding RNA. The record is from Ensembl. Lineage: Eukaryota; Metazoa; Chordata; Actinopteri; Cichliformes; Cichlidae.
UUUCUAGUGACUAAAACUGUUAGGUAUAAAAAAUGAGUUGGUGUGUCUGGUCAAUAAUUCUGUCUUUCUCUUUCUCCGCUUUCUUUAGAAAGCCUACAUCAGUUUCCAUCUUCAUUUGCCGUGUCUGCCUAAAUCUCCAAUAGUAAAAGUAACUGACUGACACUGAGCAGUAUUAGAAAAAAAGAAAAAAACCCUACUCCUCCCUCCCACCAACCCAACCGCCCACACACCAGUUCUACGUCUGGCUUUGUCAGAUGUGCAGAAAGGCAGGCUGCUAAGACAGGAUGACACUGACGAUUAGAAGACCACUGCUCACACGAUAAGAUGGAAAUGUCGCUGAAGCAGUUGAUUCUGAUGCUACUUACAGUGGCAGCAACAGCCAUGGUGAUAUCAGGUCAAACUGCUGUAUUUCUGAAUGAAACAAGAACAGUGAGAGUUCCAUCUGGAUCAGACCUGGCUUUGUACUGCUUUUUGGACACUGAGAAAUAUGAGCGAUAUCGAAUCUUCUGGUAUUCCAACAAAUCUGAGAAAUCUGAAUCUUCUUCCAACGAGUCAAUAUGUCACAAAAUCAUUAACAAACCUGCAAACAAGACUGAAAAUGAAGAUUCAAAAUGCAUUUUGUCAAAUGUUAAUACAAACCACAGUGGAUGGUACUUUUGCAAAGUCACAACAGAGAUUCCCAGUUUAACAGAAAUCCGCAGCAGUGGAACAGAAGUAAAUGUUUCGGACAGUGAAGUUACAACGUACCCGUCAAAUGUGACGAAUAUUAAAGACCCUCCUGCCCUGAGUGACAACUGGUGGAUAUGGGUGGUGUUGGGAGCAUCCUCUUUCAUCCUGUUCAUCCUGACGGUCACAUGUGUCCUACUCUCAAGAAGACAAGAGAAUAGAGAAGAGCCCAUCUAUGCAAACACCCCCAACAAACAGCCUUCACCUCGGCCGUCCAUGAGCGCAGCGGCGGUCAGCCUGAAGGCAGCUUCUUCCUUUCAAGACCCGCGGACCCCGAGUCCUGCCAGCAGAUACGACGAAGGCAAACGGAGAUAUAGACACUGAACAAGUCACGGAUCUCACAAACUAAUGCCAGCAAAGGUCCUCACAGCUAAUUUCACCGGGACACUGAAAGAAACUUUCCCCUUUCAUUAUUGUCGGAUCUACAUUUUGUUCAUCUGGAUUACUGGUUUAGGGUUUUUUCAUUCAAACUGUACGUUUUUUAAAAUGCGCAGGUGAAGUAGCUUUUAUGAGCCACUAGAUGGCAGAUGAUGAAUGCGGUUUGAAUGUGUAAAUUCAUGGUUUUGUUCCCUUAAUUUUUGUAUUGUAUUACUUAAUAUUGAAUAUGAUGAAUACUGAAUAUUUGGAAAUGUUUCCAAUAGCUUUUGAAUGGAGUAUGGAGAAGAUUUAUACACACAUAUGUAUAUUUUUGUAUUAUUUUUUUAAAGGAGACUAAAACGUUAAUUUCUUAUAUAUGGACUGUGUCCUUCUUUUUAUUUUCAAAAUAAACGUGGCUUUCUGUCGUGCUUAGGCUAACACUUUAAUACGUCCUCUGAUAAAAUACUUAUUAAGUCGACUUAACAUUUCCAAACAAACCAAAAGUCCGCACUUGGGAACAUUAACAGGA